GUUGCGGUGGCCGAGGGGUUAAGGCGUUAAACUCGAAAUCCAAUGGGAUCUUCCCGCGCAGGUGCGAAUCCUGCCCGCAACG
RNAcentral lists this transfer RNA (82 nucleotides) under Nematostella vectensis (starlet sea anemone). It matches the Rfam family "tRNA". From Rfam's summary of the family: Transfer RNA (tRNA) molecules are approximately 80 nucleotides in length. Their secondary structure includes four short double-helical elements and three loops (D, anti-codon, and T loops). Further hydrogen bonds mediate the characteristic L-shaped molecular structure. tRNAs have two regions of fundamental functional importance: the anti-codon, which is responsible for specific mRNA codon recognition, and the 3' end, to which the tRNAs corresponding amino acid is attached (by aminoacyl-tRNA synthetases). tRNAs cope with the degeneracy of the genetic code in two manners: having more than one tRNA (with a specific anti-codon) for a particular amino acid; and 'wobble' base-pairing, i.e. permitting non-standard base-pairing at the 3rd anti-codon position. The record is from Rfam by way of RNAcentral. Lineage: Eukaryota; Metazoa; Cnidaria; Anthozoa; Actiniaria; Edwardsiidae.